This is a long non-coding RNA of Rhipicephalus microplus (southern cattle tick), 297 nucleotides long. Lineage: Eukaryota; Metazoa; Arthropoda; Arachnida; Ixodida; Ixodidae. The record is from RefSeq and is a predicted model, not a curated record.
CACUGCGCAACACUAUCAAGCGCACACCACUGCUUAUGCUGAGAUGUCUACUCCAAAAUGUCUACUAAUUUUGUUUGUGGCUACAAUCUCGUUAUUAAAUGACCGGUUUACAUGCAGUGCAGUGGUUUGCAAUCAGCUGUGCUACUACGAUAGAAACAACAACCCUCAUGGCUGCCCAGAAGGAUGCCAGUGCGUAGCCCAUGACUGGGGAACUGGUACCGCCAACAUGUCGGGGAGAUGUAUGCAUCGAAUGAGCAAGCGUUGAUAUUGAAAAAUAAAGGAAUCAACAUUGGUUAA